CGUAGCUCAGUUGGUUAGAGCACAUCACUCAUAAUGAUGGGGUCACAGGUUCGAAUCCCG
RNAcentral lists this transfer RNA (60 nucleotides) under Escherichia coli. RNAcentral's name for it is "tRNA-Met". It matches the Rfam family "tRNA", at positions 7 to 62 of the family's 71-position model. Rfam says of the family: Transfer RNA (tRNA) molecules are approximately 80 nucleotides in length. Their secondary structure includes four short double-helical elements and three loops (D, anti-codon, and T loops). Lineage: Bacteria; Pseudomonadati; Pseudomonadota; Gammaproteobacteria; Enterobacterales; Enterobacteriaceae. RNAcentral also lists the same sequence under 13 other names. The record is from RNAcentral.